GGGACAUUGGAAAGGGUGAGGACACUGGCAUGGGUGGGGGCUGAGGACACUGGGUCGGGGCGAGGACACGGUUGGGGGGGCAGGGACAUUGGAAUGGGGCAAGUACACUGGAGGGUGACUAGGAUACCCGGGGGUGGGCAUAGGUGGGGGGCGAGGACACUGGGGGGUAGAUGUGGAAGAAGGACGGGGAAACUGGGGGCAGACACUGAGGUGGGAAAUGCAGACAUUGGGGUGUGGGGCGAGGACACCAGGAGAGCGAGGACCCCGAGGUGGGGAGUGCGGACUCUGGGGUGGGGGGCGAGGACACUGCACGAGGUGCGCUGCCGUCGCUGGGGCAGGGUGGCGGCUGCAGGCGCGCCCUGGGCCUGCCAGGCCUCCUCCAUCCCCCACCCUCCCCUCCCCUCCCUCCGCCUGGCGCCCAGCCCCCUGCCGGCGGGUCCACCCGCGGGCUGGCCCUCCCGCACGCACGCUCCGGUUGUCGGGGUCCUCCUCCUAGAAGAACUGGAAACACUCGGAGCUCCACAGCCUUCGGGGCGACCCGACUGGGUUCGCUGGUCCGUCGGAGCACACCAACAGGCCUGCGCCAGGUGCUGGUGGAGGCGACUUGACCCCGCCCUGCUGCAGCUUAGAGGAGGGGGGAGUUACCUCACCCCUUGGAGUCUCAGAUUCCUCACACCUUAAAUUGGGGAGCGGGGCGGGGAGGUGGAAAUAUCUCAGAGGAGUGAGUAAAAUGAUGAAUUCUCAAGGCCUCGCGCUGGCCGCCCAGACAGACCUAAGAAGACAGCGGGAAGGAGAGUGACCCUAAGGACCCUCGGCUCCUGAAUGCCGAGUCUGAUCUAAACUCCCCACAUAUUAAUCACUUUGGAGAGAGAAAAAAUUUUUAAACGAGACAGAAAAAGCAGCCCUCACCCCCACCCCCCUACAUACGCAAAGGAAAUACCAGCCAUCUUUACCGUUGGUUGUUCCUAUAUUUUACUUGGUGGUGCUUAUCUCCUUCUGUUCCCACUUCCCCUUAAACCCCAACUUUUCCAAGACAGGGCAAUUCAAAUGUCCUGGGUUUAGUUCUCACAUCUUGCUUAACAUUAACCCAAAUCCAGGCUGGCUUGCAGAACGACUGUGAAAAUGGAAUUUUGGCUACAGUUUUCUAACCAUAGAAUGAAACUUUCCUAUUUUAUCAUUUCAGGAGCAGACAUUGUGCUCAAGAAAAUGGAAUGAACAUGAGACUCAAAUCCAUGUCCAUUUGUUUUUAUUAUCAAGAGAACAAGAAAGUGUUCUUGAUUUUUAAAAAAUAUGCUUUCUUAACCAUCCAGAUGUAGGGGACAGGGCCAAAUAUAUUAUUUGAUAUCAUUUGGGUGUUCCAAGUCCACAGAUGUGUCUAGUUUGGAAGCUAUUGAUACAAGUUUUCUCUUUAAGAAAAUAAAUCUCAUCUUGAAACUCUUUAAGCCUGGAAAAAAAUAAUUCAGAGGGAAAGAAAUUUUUCUUGAAUUAAGUUCAACUAAGUUUAAUCAUUUAAAGGAAAACAUGUUUUACUUCUGCCUAAAUAGAGCCUAGUCAUGUGAUUCAUAGUUUAAAUAUAUCCACAGCUCCCUGUGUUCACCUCCCAGGGCAACUGAUUUUUUUCAAGCCUCUUUUGAUUCUAGGCUGGUUUCCCUAGACUUGUCUGGUUAGGUCUACUUCAGUGGGAACAGUGCCAAAGCCUGUGCUCUUUCUACUCUUGAGAGUACAUUUAAAAUCAGUUACAUUUAUAGACCUGGCUUCUGUCAAAUAGGCUAAAAAUCCAGAUUGGUUUUUAUUACAACAUCCCAUAAUAAGCAAACAACCUAAGCUUUUCCCACAUGACUAAUGCCUCUAAGAUCAUCUGUAGAGAUAAACAAAAAUCUUUGUCCCAGAGAGUUAGAAAAGUUCAAAGACUAUUGGAGAAUGG
RNAcentral lists this long non-coding RNA (1924 nucleotides) under Marmota monax (woodchuck). Lineage: Eukaryota; Metazoa; Chordata; Mammalia; Rodentia; Sciuridae. The record is from RNAcentral.